This 439-nucleotide ribosomal RNA is filed under the name uncultured bacterium. RNAcentral describes it as "bacterial SSU rRNA". It matches the Rfam family "Bacterial small subunit ribosomal RNA", at positions 81 to 518 of the family's 1533-position model. The record is from RNAcentral.
ACUGAGGUAGGCGACCGGCGCACGGGUGAGUAACACGUAUGCAACCUGCCUGUAAGCGGGGAAGUAACCCGUUGAAAGACGGACUAAUACCGCAUAAUACUAAAUUACUGCAUGGUAAUUUAUUUAACAUUUAUGGCUUACAGAUGGGCAUGCGCAUGAUUAGCUAGUUGGAGAGGUAACGGCUCCCCAAGGCAACGAUCAUUAGGGGUUCUGAGAGGAAGGUCCCCCACACUGGUACUGAGACACGGACCAGACUCCUACGGGAGGCAGCAGUGAGGAAUAUUGGUCAAUGGACGAGAGUCUGAACCAGCCAAGUCGCGUGCAGGAAGAAUGUCCUAUGGAUUGUAAACUGCUUUUGCAGGGGAAUAAAGUGCAUCACGUGUGAUGUUUUGUAUGUACUCUGCGAAUAAGGAUCGGCUAACUCCGUGCCAGCCGCGGC